GCACCCGUAGCUCAGCUGGAUAGAGCGUUUGAUUCCUAAUCAAGAGGCCGCUGGUUCGAGUCCAGCCGGGUGCACCA
Molecule: transfer RNA, 77 nt
Filed under: Alphaproteobacteria bacterium
Lineage: Bacteria; Pseudomonadati; Pseudomonadota; Alphaproteobacteria
Description: tRNA-Arg
Rfam family: tRNA
About the family: Transfer RNA (tRNA) molecules are approximately 80 nucleotides in length.
Source: RNAcentral